This is a non-coding RNA of Vibrio sp. MEBiC08052, 98 nucleotides long. The record is from Rfam. NCBI's taxonomy places the organism in Bacteria, Pseudomonadati, Pseudomonadota, Gammaproteobacteria, Vibrionales, Vibrionaceae.
CAAAUAGAUGUCUAGGGUUCCGGCUGCCACGGCAGUGACUGGUCCGAGAGACGUCAACCUCAGCUGAGGUCACACGGAGGGACAAAAGCCCGGGAGGC